RNAcentral lists this ribosomal RNA (772 nucleotides) under marine sediment metagenome. Its description in RNAcentral is "LSU rRNA". It matches the Rfam family "Bacterial large subunit ribosomal RNA", at positions 226 to 926 of the family's 2925-position model. The record is from RNAcentral.
UAAUAACGAUUCCCUAAGUAGCGGUGAGCGAAAAGGGAAGAGCCUAAACGGUAAUGAGCGUGAUAGUCGGUAGACGUUGCUCAUUACCGGGUCGUGGGACCUGAUCUGAUUCUGCUACCGCAGAAUCAAAGAGUUAACAAGUCUUUUUCUAGCCGAAAUGACAUUGGAAAAGUCUACCCUAGAUGGUGAUAGUCCAGUAGGCGAAAGGGAAAGACCUCUUUUUUCAGGCACCCGAGUAUCAUGGGAUAAGGGAAGCCCUGUGAGAAUUUAGGAGGACCACCUCCUAAGGCUAAAUACUAACUGGUGACCGAUAGUGAACUAGUACCGUGAGGGAAAGGUGAAAAGUACCCCGGGAGGGGAGUGAAAUAGUACCUGAAACCGUAUACCUACAAGCAGUGGGAGCACUAUUUUUUAAGAUUUAUCUUAGGAAAGUGUGACCGCGUGCCUUUUGUAGAAUGAGCCGGCGAGUUACGAUAUCUAGCUAGGUUAAGCAGCAGCUGCUGCGGAGCCGCAGCGAAAGCGAGUCUUAAAUAGGGCGAUUUUAGUUAGGUGGCGUAGACCCGAAACCGAGUGAUCUAACCAUGGCCAGGGUGAAGCAGGUCUGAUCGCCUGUGAAGGCCCGAACCCACUUAUGUUGAAAAAUGAGGGGAUGAGCUGUGGUUAGGGGUGAAAGACCAAUCAAACUCGGAGAUAGCUGGUUCUCCUCGAAAUAGCUUUAGGGCUAGCCUCAAAUGUUUGCCUAUGGAGGUAGAGCACUGAAUGGACUAAGGGC